GACGAACGCUGGCGGCGUGCUUAACACAUGCAAGUCGAACGCGCCUGUCCUCUGGGUUUCUGGGGGGUGGGUGAGUGGCGAACGGGUGAGUAACACGUGAGUAACCUGCCUCCUUCUUCGGGAUAACGGUCUGAAAGGGCUGCUAAUACCGGGUAUUCACUGGUCUCCGCAUGGGGUCUGGUGGAACGGUUUUUUUCUGGUGGGGGAUGGGCUCGCGGCUUAUUAGCUUGUUGGUGGGGUGAUGGCGCACCAAGGCUUUGACGGGUAGCCGGCCUGAUAGGGCACCCUGGCACAUAGAGACGGAGAUACGGCCCAGGGGCGGACGGGGGGCGGCAGUGGGGAAAAUUGCACAAAGGGUGCAAGCGUGAUGCAGCGACGCCGCGGAAGGGAUUCGGGCCGUCGGGUUGUUAACCUCGGUCGCCCAUGGUCAAGCCGCAACGUGGGUCGUGGUGAGGGUAGUGAAUAAAGAAGCACCGGCUAACUACGUG
This 488-nucleotide ribosomal RNA is filed under the name uncultured bacterium. RNAcentral describes it as "partial 16S ribosomal RNA". It matches the Rfam family "Bacterial small subunit ribosomal RNA", at positions 28 to 507 of the family's 1533-position model. The record is from RNAcentral.